UACGAAGGGGGCUAGUGUUGUUCGGAAUCACUGGGCGUAAAGCGCACGUAGGCGGAUCUUUAAGUCAGAGGUGAAAUCCCAAGGCUCAACCUUGGAACUGCCUUUGAUACUGGGGAUCUUGAGUCCGGGAGAGGUGAGUGGAACUGCGAGUGUAGAGGUGAAAUUCGUAGAUAUUCGCAAGAACACCAGUGGCGAAGGCGGCUCACUGGCCCGGUACUGACGCUGAGGUGCGAAAGCGUGGGGAGCGAACAGG
RNAcentral lists this ribosomal RNA (253 nucleotides) under uncultured bacterium. RNAcentral describes it as "partial 16S ribosomal RNA". It matches the Rfam family "Bacterial small subunit ribosomal RNA", at positions 524 to 776 of the family's 1533-position model. The record is from RNAcentral.